RNAcentral lists this transfer RNA (54 nucleotides) under Harpactocrates apennicola. RNAcentral describes it as "tRNA-Cys". The record is from RNAcentral. Lineage: Eukaryota; Metazoa; Arthropoda; Arachnida; Araneae; Dysderidae.
AAUAAUAUAGUUUAACAAAACUUCAAACUGCAAGUUUGAAAAUCACUAAUAAAA